RNAcentral lists this ribosomal RNA (390 nucleotides) under uncultured bacterium. RNAcentral's name for it is "bacterial SSU rRNA". It matches the Rfam family "Bacterial small subunit ribosomal RNA", at positions 28 to 420 of the family's 1533-position model. The record is from RNAcentral.
GACGAACGCUGGCGGCGUGCUUAACACAUGCAAGUCGAGCGGUAAGGCCCUUUCGGGGGUACACGAGCGGCGAACGGGUGAGUAACACGUGGGUGACCUGCCCUCAGCUCUGGGAUAAGCCUGGGAAACCGGGUCUAAUACUGGAUAUGACUCCAUGACGCAUGUUGUGGGGUGGAAAGCCUUGUGCGGCUGAGGAUGGGCCCGCGGCCUAUCAGCUUGUUGGUGGGGGAUGGCCUACCAAGGCGACGACGGGUAGCCGGCCUGAGAGGGCGACCGGCCACACUGGGACUGAGACACGGCCCAGACUCUUACGGGAGGCAGCAGUGGGGAAUCUUGCGCAAUGGGCGAAAGCCUGACGCAGCGACGCCGCGUGAGGGAUGACGGCCUGGU